Molecule: non-coding RNA, 315 nt
Organism: Petromyzon marinus (sea lamprey)
Lineage: Eukaryota; Metazoa; Chordata; Hyperoartia; Petromyzontiformes; Petromyzontidae
Source: RefSeq, a predicted model, not a curated record
GGCGGGGGAAGAGGAGGACGGGGGCGCCCUAUGGGGGCCAGGGGCGGAGCAGGGAGCAAUUGUGACUGGUCGAGGAGCACGCCAGCCAGGCCUGCACUGGGCCCAUCUCCUGCCUCCGCCUCCCGUUCACCCCAACCACCACGCACUCACCCCCACCGAGGAUGGCUACGAGAGCGACGGCUCCUUCCCGCACCACCACCACCACCACCACCGCGACGACGCCGACGCCGACGCCGACGCCGACGCCGACGACGCCGACGACGCCGACGACGACCGCCCACCGCCCACCGCCCCGGCGUUUCCGCCGGCCCCUCG